AAGAGAGCUUGAUUGCAAGACAUACAGGUCGAGCAAGGAUGAAAAUCGGACUUAGUGAUCCGGUGGUUCUGCGUGGAAGGGCCAUCGCUCAACGGAUAAAAGCUACCCUGGGGAUAACAGGCUUAUCUCCCCCAAGAGUCCACAGCGACGGGGAGGUUUGGCACCUCGAUGUCGGCUCAUCACAUCCUGGGGCUGUAGUAGGUCCCAAGGGUUGGGCUGUUCGCCCAUUAAAGUGGUACGCGAGCUGGGUUCAGAACGUCGUGGGACAGUUCGGUCCCUAUCCGUCGCAGGCGUAGGAAAUUUGAGAAGACCUGUCCUUAGUACGAGAGGACCGGGAUGGACGUACCUCUGGUGUACCAGUUGUCCUGCCAAGGGCAUGGCUGGGUAGCUAUGUACGGAAUGGAUAAG
RNAcentral lists this ribosomal RNA (408 nucleotides) under Clostridioides difficile. Its description in RNAcentral is "bacterial LSU rRNA". It matches the Rfam family "Bacterial large subunit ribosomal RNA", at positions 2361 to 2768 of the family's 2925-position model. The record is from RNAcentral. Lineage: Bacteria; Bacillati; Bacillota; Clostridia; Peptostreptococcales; Peptostreptococcaceae.